GGGCUUCCUGCUCGGGUCACAAGCGCCAGAAGCGCCGGCGGCUGCGGGGAAACGUCUCUGGAGGGUGUGGCGGAAACUUGAGGCUUGGAGUCCGCGGGACCGGAAGGGGCUCCGUAGCUCGGGGCAGGGUGGGCGCGAGAGAGCCUAGAAGCCCAUGUAGCCGCGAAUCCCGCAGCCCCAGUACACCUCCCUCCGUGCCUCCCCGCCUUUUCUGCAGAGCUCCGCCCUGGAGUGAAGGAGGAGCCGUCACCUGGAGCUCCGAAAAAAGCAGAAGAAGGCGCUUUUUAUUUAGCCAGUGUGACCCCGCCAGGGCCUUCUCGGUUGGGUGAGCACUCUCUCUGACCAGGCCAUGAAAAGAAAAAUCUGUGCGAUGCCUCCCCACAUGUCACGGGACUCUGACUUGCCUUUGUCGUCAGAGUUUGCAGAACUUUGGGGGACCUGAGAGGGGAGUGCCCCCUGGACGGGCCACGGCUGUCUGUGGCUUAAGGGCUUUUGGAAGGGCGGAGAGAGGGAAACGGCGUCCUAGUGGCCUGCUUCAGGGCCACCCACGGGCCCUCCCCCAACCUCUCUCUGAUCCAACUUGUUUUUCCAGCCUAGUUGGAAACUUGUGGAUGCUGUGACCUCAAGAAGACUUGGCAUUUUAUUUGGAAGAUAGACAUCUAUUUGCAACUGUCCUGAGCCCCUAUUUUCCUCCCACCUUUCUUGGGGAAACUUGUUUUUAAGGGAUGCCACUGUUUUUGUAACAUGUUGCUCCUAGCUCUUAGCAUUCAUGGUACUGUUGUAACCGUCCAGUGGGUUCACUUUGUCUGCUAGAUAGAGCCGAUUUAUCAAGACGGGGAUUACAAUGGAGAAAGAGUAAUUCACGCAGAGCCGGCUUUGCAGAUAAAACUCUGCAAAGACAAUGUCUAGCACUUAUAUCUCCAGUAACUCCUGUCAAGGUUUAUUGUUGCUUGUUCAUCAUUGCAGUCCUGACUACAAGUGUGAUUGCACUUUCUAUUGUUUUGUCAGAAUUUCCUGAAAAGAUACAAAGGCCCUUCUGACCAUUGGAUUGGCCUUAGAAGAGAAUCAUCCCAUCGCAUUUGGAAAUGGACAGACAACAUGGAAUAUAAUAACAUUUUUCACACAUUUACAAAACAAUUUGGGAGGAGGCUGGAAAUCAUCUUGACUGAAGACCACCAAUGGCAGCAGUUCAUUUGGGUACAGCAGCAAGCAUCAGUUAAAUGCUUGCUAUCAGAGGAAGUGGAGAAUGUGCCUUCCUGAAUGACAAUGGAGUCAACAGUGGCAGAAUCUACAUGAACAGAAAAUGGAUUUGUAGCAAGCCAAACAAUUAUGUCUACAGUUGCCAGUUAUGUCCCCACUGGGAUACUACCUAGUAGAGCUGUGAGAAGAGGGCCACCAUCCUCCAGACUCCAGAAUGGUGGAAUCAGCAGCAGCUUCCACCAUGCCCCUGGAAAAACUGCAAGUAACAGACCUGCACAUGUAUCCCCUACAUCUAAAAUAAAAGUUGGAAAAAAUGGAACUUUGAUGUUAAGAUGCACUGAUACAAAACUUAAAUUUUGGUCUCCUACAUUAAAACA
This 1577-nucleotide long non-coding RNA is filed under the name Homo sapiens (human). RNAcentral's name for it is "non-protein coding lnc-CLEC2D-8:7". The record is from RNAcentral. Lineage: Eukaryota; Metazoa; Chordata; Mammalia; Primates; Hominidae.